RNAcentral lists this long non-coding RNA (458 nucleotides) under Calidris pygmaea (Spoon-billed sandpiper). RNAcentral describes it as "lncRNA (ENSCPGG00000005192.1)". The record is from RNAcentral. Lineage: Eukaryota; Metazoa; Chordata; Aves; Charadriiformes; Scolopacidae.
AUUAAACCAGUUUUGAAGGAAAUCAAUAAUUAUAGAAAUUCUGAAGAUAUUUACCUUUUGUCAUGGUUCAGGGCAAGAAUACACCACACAACUCCAUUUAUUCCAGAGACAUGACUAGUUUCUGGAGUCUCGCUACUUUGUGUGUAUGGCCAAAACUAUUAUAUACGGUAGAUGAGAAACAGACUUCAGCAUAGCUACGUUAGCCUUUGUGUGAUAUUUGAUAUCCUAUGGAAGGAAAAACAAUAUUCUUGAGAACUUUCACAGGAAAAGUCGCAGGACAGUUCCUUCUUGCAUUAUGGAAAGCAAGCACAGCUCCAUUCUCACCCCAGCCUGUCUCCCAGUGGUGGAUGACAAACCAUGCUGGAUCAUCAGCUGAGAGACCCCCCCAUCCUGCAGGCAUUUGCAUCUCUGAGAUAAUAAGCCACACAGCUAUAUGUGAACACACUUUCAAGGGUUGA